GUGCUCGCUUCAGCAGCACAUAUACUAAAACUGGAACGAUACAGAGAAGAUUAGCAUGGCCCUUGCGCAAUGAUGACACGCAA
This 83-nucleotide small nuclear RNA is filed under the name Cervus elaphus hippelaphus. Lineage: Eukaryota; Metazoa; Chordata; Mammalia; Artiodactyla; Cervidae. The record is from RNAcentral.